GUUCCUCUCGCUGCAGCCCCGGCGGUAGCAGCCGCUGAGCCUGCCACCACCACCCCUGAGCAGAAGAUGGCUGUGCCUCCCAUGUAUGCUGAUCUUGGCAAAUCUGCCAGGGAUGUCUUCACCGAGGGUUAUGGAUUUGGCUUAAUAAAACUUGACUUGAAAACAAAAUCUGAGAAUGGACUGGAAUUUACAAGCUCAGGUUCAGCCAACACUGAGUCCACCAAAGUGAUGGGCAGUCUGGAAACCAAGUACAGAUGGACUGAAUAUGGUCUGACGUUUACAGAGAAAUGGAACACUGACAACACACUAGGCACAGAGAUCACUGUGGAAGAUCAGCUUGCACGUGGACUGAAGCUGACCUUUGAUUCAUCGUUCUCACCAAACACAGGGGAAAAAAAUGCUAAAAUCAAGACAGGGUAUAAGCGGGAGCACAUCAACCUGGGCUGUGACGUGGAUUUCGACAUUGCCCGUCCUUCAGUCCGGGGUGCUGUGGUGCUGGGAUAUGAAGGCUGGCUGGCUGGCUACCAGAUGAAUUUUGAGACUGCAAAGUCUCAAGUGACCCAGAGCAACUUUGCGGUUGGCUACAAGACUGACGAAUUCCAGGUCCACACUAACGUAAACGAUGGGACAGAAUUUGGUGGCUCCAUUUAUCAGAAGGUGAACAAGAAGUUAGAGACCGCUGUCAAUCUGGCCUGGACAGCAGGAAAUAGUAACACUCGCUUUGGAAUAGCGGCCAAGUAUCAGAUCGACCCUGAUGCCUGCUUCUCGGCUAAAGUGAACAACUCCAGCCUGAUAGGUUUAGGAUACACUCAGACCCUAAAGCCAGGUAUCAAACUGACCCUAUCCGCUCUGCUGGAUGGCAAGAAUGUCAAUGCUGGCGGCCACAAGCUUGGUCUAGGGCUGGAAUUUCAGGCAUAAAUGAAUACUGUACAGUCAUUUAAUUUUAAACUAUUUUGAGCCUAGCUACCUUCAGAAUUUAGUGUACCUUUUAAUGUUGUAUGUCUGGGAUGCAACUAUUGCUAAGUGUCAUGUUAGACCUCCAGGUUAAAGAUGAUUCAGCUUUAAGGUGUUACCCUUUCAGAGGUACAGAAGAAAUCCAAGUCCAUGAAAAGUUCUUUCAGCUGUAGACUUGGGGGGAGCUUGGUGGCCCCUCCAGAGAGUUCAGGUUUCUUUUUUAUCUAGAAAUGGCUGCAAAUGGAAGCUGAUAAUUUAUAGGCACUUUGUUAAUUGGUAUGGAGUACAUGAAUGAAAUUAUGACUUCCUGAGAAUUGAACUGGGUUUCCUACCCGAAGGAAGGAGAGACUCACUGAUGGUGUGUAUAAACCCAUCUGAAAGAGACUUUUUUAGACAGAUUUUCCUGACCUGUUUCCACCCCAGUCCAUCACCUCUUUUACAACAAAAGUAAUCUGCAGACUGUGGUAGC
Callorhinus ursinus (northern fur seal) is the source of this 1423-nucleotide non-coding RNA. NCBI's taxonomy places the organism in Eukaryota, Metazoa, Chordata, Mammalia, Carnivora, Otariidae. The record is from RefSeq and is a predicted model, not a curated record.